Molecule: ribosomal RNA, 253 nt
Filed under: uncultured bacterium
Lineage: Bacteria
Description: partial 16S ribosomal RNA
Rfam family: Bacterial small subunit ribosomal RNA
Source: RNAcentral
UACGGGGGGGGCAAGCGUUGUUCGGAAUUACUGGGCGUAAAGGGCUCGUAGGCGGCCAACUAAGUCGGAUGUGAAAUCCCCAGGCUUAACCUGGGAACUGCAUCCGAUACUGGAUGGCUUGAAUCCGGGAGAGGGAUGCAGAAUUCCAGGUGUAGCGGUGAAAUGCGUAGAUAUCUGGAGGAAUACCGGUGGCGAAGACGGCAUCCUGGACCGGCAUUGACGCUGAGGAGCGAAAGCUAGGGGAGCAAACGGG